RNAcentral lists this ribosomal RNA (248 nucleotides) under uncultured bacterium. RNAcentral describes it as "partial 16S ribosomal RNA". It matches the Rfam family "Bacterial small subunit ribosomal RNA", at positions 523 to 769 of the family's 1533-position model. The record is from RNAcentral.
AUACGUAGGGGACAAGCGUUAUCCGGAUUUACUGGGUGUAAAGGGAGCGUGGACGGUUCUGCAAAGUCUGGAGUGAAAGCCCGGGGCUCAACCCCGGGACUGCUUUGGAAACUGUGGAACUGGAGUGCAGGAGAGGUAAGUGGAAUUCCUAGUGUAGCGGUGAAAUGCGUAGAUAUUAGGAGGAACACCAGUGGCGAAGGCGGCUUACUGGACUGUAACUGACGUUGAGGCUCGAAAGCGUGGGGAGC